RNAcentral lists this ribosomal RNA (534 nucleotides) under Candida albicans. RNAcentral describes it as "LSU rRNA". It matches the Rfam family "Eukaryotic large subunit ribosomal RNA", at positions 61 to 572 of the family's 3401-position model. Lineage: Eukaryota; Fungi; Ascomycota; Pichiomycetes; Serinales; Debaryomycetaceae. The record is from RNAcentral.
GAAACCAACAGGGAUUGCCUCAGUAGCGGCGAGUGAAGCGGCAAAAGCUCAAAUUUGAAAUCUGGCGUCUUUGGCGUCCGAGUUGUAAUUUGAAGAAGGUAUCUUUGGGCCCGGCUCUUGUCUAUGUUCCUUGGAACAGGACGUCACAGAGGGUGAGAAUCCCGUGCGAUGAGAUGACCCGGGUCUGUGUAAAGUUCCUUCGACGAGUCGAGUUGUUUGGGAAUGCAGCUCUAAGUGGGUGGUAAAUUCCAUCUAAAGCUAAAUAUUGGCGAGAGACCGAUAGCGAACAAGUACAGUGAUGGAAAGAUGAAAAGAACUUUGAAAAGAGAGUGAAAAAGUACGUGAAAUUGUUGAAAGGGAAGGGCUUGAGAUCAGACUUGGUAUUUUGCAUGCUGCUCUCUCGGGGGCGGCCGCUGCGGUUUACCGGGCCAGCAUCGGUUUGGAGCGGCAGGAUAAUGGCGGAGGAAUGUGGCACGGCUUCUGCUGUGUGUUAUAGCCUCUGACGAUACUGCCAGCCUAGACCGAGGACUGCGG